Mus musculus (house mouse) is the source of this 1110-nucleotide RNA transcript. It is a transcript of the gene named RIKEN cDNA 1700128F08 gene, with no coding region annotated. The transcript is spliced from 3 exons. Lineage: Eukaryota; Metazoa; Chordata; Mammalia; Rodentia; Muridae. The record is from RefSeq and is marked validated.
GGCUGCUUUGUCUUCCUUCUUCCUUUCCGAAGGAGCACUUGCUAGUUUCUCAAAUUCCUGAGACCUCUACACCUAGGAGUAUGAGUGACUGGAUGCCCAUUGCCAAGGAAUAUGAUCCGCUUAAAGCUGGCAGCAUCGAUGGUACAGACGAAGACCCACAUGACCGAGCUGUGUGGAGGGCCAUGCUGGCCUGCUAUGUCCCCAACAAAGGAGUCACUGGAGACCUCCUCCAUACCCUGUUUGUGGCACAACUGGACUUGCAGACCAAAGAGAAGUUCUCCCGUCCCAAAACUUAUGGUGAUAUGAGAGGUGAAGACAGAAUUUCCGCGAAGCGUACGGUACAGCUACAGCCCAGCAGGUAUAAGAAGAGAAUCCUUGCCUCAAAACAAGGUGUGUUGGAGUAUCUAGGACUGGCUGAGGUGGGAGUGCUGAGUUCUGAUCAUGGUGAGUGGUCUUGGUUUCUGUUAGUAAGAUUCUUACGUUUGCCUUUCGCCAUCUGGUAUUAUCUGGAGUUAGUUGUUAUAGUUGUCUCUGGUUAGAGCUUGUUCCUCCUGUGAUUCUGUUAGCCUCUGUCAGCAGACCUGGGAGUGUAGCUCUCUCCGGAGUUUCAGUGAUCAGAGUACUCUCUGCAGGCAAGCUCUCCUCUUGGAGGAAAGGUGCACAGAUAUGUAUCAUUCAGACCUGCCUACUGAUUGAAGAUGAUAGCCUGAAAGUGGGCCUGUCCCAGAAGCUGUGUAGCUUCCUUAGUCAGCAUUCUCACCUGUGCAGACUAGUCUCUGAGGGAUCCAGGACCCAAUAUGGCUCCCCCAGGUGCUCCGCAGUAGAGCCCUCCAGGGCAGACAUCUCUCCUCUGGCAGGGAAGGUGCUGGGAUGUCUCGAGCCUGAAACCAGGUCUGUCCCAGAAGCUGUGUUGCUUCUGCCUGUUCCUAGAAGCUGUGUAGCUUCUGUAGUCUGCACUCUCACCUUCGAAGACUAGUUACUGAGGGAUCCAAGACCCAACAGUUUUUUUCUUUUAAAAUCAAAUUAAUUGUAUAAAUUAAUUUGAGCACUCAAAAGCAAGGAUGAAAUUUAAUCACAUUCAAACAUAAAAAUUAAAUGGCACUCAUAGUU